AUUGAACGCUGGCGGCGUGCCUAACACAUGCAAGUCGAGCGGCAGCGCGGGAGCAAUCCUGGCGGCGAGCGGCGAACGGGUGAGUAAUGCUUCGGAAUCUGCCCAUGUAGUGGGGAAUAACCAGCCGAAAGGUUGGCUAAUACCGCAUACGACCUACGGGUGAAAGCAGGGGAUCGUAAGACCUUGCGCUAUUGGAUGAGCCGAAGUCGGAUUAGCUUGUUGGNGAGGUAACGGCUCACCAAGGCGACAAUCCGUAGCUGGUCUGAGAGGACGACCAGCCACACUGGGACUGAGACACGGCCCAGACUCCUACGGGAGGCAGCAGUGGGGAAUAUUGGACAAUGGGGGCAACCCUGAUCCAGCGACGCCGCGUGUGUGAAGAAGGCCUGCGGGUUGUAAAGCACUUUUAGUGGGGAUGAAAAGCUCGAGGGCUAAUACCUCUGGGUCUUGACCUAACCCAAAGAAAAGCACCGGCUAACUCUGUGCCAGCCG
This 492-nucleotide ribosomal RNA is filed under the name uncultured bacterium. RNAcentral's name for it is "bacterial SSU rRNA". It matches the Rfam family "Bacterial small subunit ribosomal RNA", at positions 29 to 514 of the family's 1533-position model. The record is from RNAcentral.